This 2418-nucleotide ribosomal RNA is filed under the name Salmonella enterica. RNAcentral's name for it is "partial 23S ribosomal RNA". It matches the Rfam family "Bacterial large subunit ribosomal RNA", at positions 532 to 2925 of the family's 2925-position model. The record is from RNAcentral. Lineage: Bacteria; Pseudomonadati; Pseudomonadota; Gammaproteobacteria; Enterobacterales; Enterobacteriaceae.
AGGGGAGUGAAAAAGAACCUGAAACCGUGUACGUACAAGCAGUGGGAGCACCCUUUGGGGUGUGACUGCGUACCUUUUGUAUAAUGGGUCAGCGACUUAUAUUCUGUAGCAAGGUUAACCGAAUAGGGGAGCCGGAGGGAAACCGAGUCUUAAUUGGGCGUUAAGUUGCAGGGUAUAGACCCGAAACCCGGUGAUCUAGCCAUGGGCAGGUUGAAGGUUGGGUAACACUAACUGGAGGACCGAACCGACUAAUGUUGAAAAAUUAGCGGAUGACCUGUGGCUGGGGGUGAAAGGCCAAUCAAACCGGGAGAUAGCUGGUUCUCCCCGAAAGCUAUUUAGGUAGCGCCUCGUGAAUUCAUCUCCGGGGGUAGAGCACUGUUUCGGCUAGGGGGCCAUCCCGGCUUACCAACCCGAUGCAAACUGCGAAUACCGGAGAAUGUUAUCACGGGAGACACACGGCGGGUGCUAACGUCCGUCGUGAAGAGGGAAACAACCCAGACCGCCAGCUAAGGUCCCAAAGUCAUGGUUAAGUGGGAAACGAUGUGGGAAGGCCCAGACAGCCAGGAUGUUGGCUUAGAAGCAGCCAUCAUUUAAAGAAAGCGUAAUAGCUCACUGGUCGAGUCGGCCUGCGCGGAAGAUGUAACGGGGCUAAACCAUGCACCGAAGCUGCGGCAGCGACGCUGAUGCGUUGUUGGGUAGGGGAGCGUUCUGUAAGCCUGCGAAGGUGGCCUGUGAGGGUUGCUGGAGGUAUCAGAAGUGCGAAUGCUGACAUAAGUAACGAUAAAGCGGGUGAAAAGCCCGCUCGCCGGAAGACCAAGGGUUCCUGUCCAACGUUAAUCGGGGCAGGGUGAGUCGACCCCUAAGGCGAGGCCGAAAGGCGUAGUCGAUGGGAAACGGGUUAAUAUUCCCGUACUUGGUGUUACUGCGAAGGGGGGACGGAGAAGGCUAUGUUGGCCGGGCGACGGUUGUCCCGGUUUAAGCGUGUAGGUGUGUGUUCCAGGUAAAUCCGGUUCACUUUAACACUGAGGCGUGAUGACGAGGCACUACGGUGCUGAAGCAACAAAUGCCCUGCUUCCAGGAAAAGCCUCUAAGCAUCAGGUAACAUCAAAUCGUACCCCAAACCGACACAGGUGGUCAGGUAGAGAAUACCAAGGCGCUUGAGAGAACUCGGGUGAAGGAACUAGGCAAAAUGGUGCCGUAACUUCGGGAGAAGGCACGCUGACACGUAGGUGAAGUGAUUUACUCAUGGAGCUGAAGUCAGUCGAAGAUACCAGCUGGCUGCAACUGUUUAUUAAAAACACAGCACUGUGCAAACACGAAAGUGGACGUAUACGGUGUGACGCCUGCCCGGUGCCGGAAGGUUAAUUGAUGGGGUCAGCGCAAGCGAAGCUCCUGAUCGAAGCCCCGGUAAACGGCGGCCGUAACUAUAACGGUCCUAAGGUAGCGAAAUUCCUUGUCGGGUAAGUUCCGACCUGCACGAAUGGCGUAAUGAUGGCCAGGCUGUCUCCACCCGAGACUCAGUGAAAUUGAACUCGCUGUGAAGAUGCAGUGUACCCGCGGCAAGACGGAAAGACCCCGUGAACCUUUACUAUAGCUUGACACUGAACAUUGAGCCUUGAUGUGUAGGAUAGGUGGGAGGCUUUGAAGUGUGGACGCCAGUCUGCAUGGAGCCGGCCUUGAAAUACCACCCUUUAAUGUUUGAUGUUCUAACGUGGACCCGUGAUCCGGGUUGCGGACAGUGUCUGGUGGGUAGUUUGACUGGGGCGGUCUCCUCCUAAAGAGUAACGGAGGAGCACGAAGGUUGGCUAAUCCUGGUCGGACAUCAGGAGGUUAGUGCAAUGGCAUAAGCCAGCUUGACUGCGAGCGUGACGGCGCGAGCAGGUGCGAAAGCAGGUCAUAGUGAUCCGGUGGUUCUGAAUGGAAGGGCCAUCGCUCAACGGAUAAAAGGUACUCCGGGGAUAACAGGCUGAUACCGCCCAAGAGUUCAUAUCGACGGCGGUGUUUGGCACCUCGAUGUCGGCUCAUCACAUCCUGGGGCUGAAGUAGGUCCCAAGGGUAUGGCUGUUCGCCAUUUAAAGUGGUACGCGAGCUGGGUUUAGAACGUCGUGAGACAGUUCGGUCCCUAUCUGCCGUGGGCGCUGGAGAACUGAGGGGGGCUGCUCCUAGUACGAGAGGACCGGAGUGGACGCAUCACUGGUGUUCGGGUUGUCAUGCCAAUGGCACUGCCCGGUAGCUAAAUGCGGAAGAGAUAAGUGCUGAAAGCAUCUAAGCACGAAACUUGCCCCGAGAUGAGUUCUCCCUGAGACUUAGAGUCUCCUGAAGGAACGUUGAAGACGACGACGUUGAUAGGCCGGGUGUGUAAGCGCAGCGAUGCGUUGAGCUAACCGGUACUAAUGAACCGUGAGGCUUAACCUUACA